RNAcentral lists this ribosomal RNA (329 nucleotides) under uncultured bacterium. RNAcentral's name for it is "bacterial SSU rRNA". It matches the Rfam family "Bacterial small subunit ribosomal RNA", at positions 568 to 898 of the family's 1533-position model. The record is from RNAcentral.
UGCGUAGGCGGCUUUUUUAAGUCAGUGGUGAAAUCUUGCCGCUUAACGGUAAAAUUGCCAUUGAUACUGAAGAGCUUGAGUCCAGUUGAGGUAAGCGGAAUGUGUAGUGUAGCGGUGAAAUGCUUAGAUAUUACACAGAACACCAAUUGCGAAGGCAGCUUACUAAACUGUCACUGACGCUGAUGCACGAAAGCGUGGGGAGCGAACAGGAUUAGAUACCCUGGUAGUCCACGCCGUAAACGAUGCUCACUCGCUGUUUGCGAUACACAGCAAGCGGCCAAGCGAAAGCAUUAAGUGAGCCACCUGGGGAGUACGAUCGCAAGGUUGAA